CGACGCCGCGUGGAGGAAGACGGCCUUCGGGUUGUAAACUCCUGUCAGAGGUGAAGAAUGCCCGCAAGGGCUUGACGGUAACCUCAGAGGAAGCCCCGGCUAACUACGUGCCAGCAGCCGCGGUAAUACGUAGGGGGCGAGCGUUGCUCGGAAUUACUGGGCGUAAAGGGAGUGCAGGCGGCCGGUUAAGUCGAAGAUGAAAUCCCGAGGCUCAACUUCGGAACGGUCUUCGAUACUGAUCGGCUUGAGGCUGGCUGAGGAGAGCGGAAUUCCCGGUGGAGCGGUGAAAUGCGUAGAUAUCGGGAGGAACACCAGAGGCGAAGGCGGCUCUCUAAACUAGUCCUGACGCUGAGACUCGAAAGCUAGGGGAGCAAACGGGAUUAGA
Molecule: ribosomal RNA, 385 nt
Filed under: uncultured bacterium
Lineage: Bacteria
Description: bacterial SSU rRNA
Rfam family: Bacterial small subunit ribosomal RNA
Source: RNAcentral